GACAGCGAUCUCUACUGGCUGCACCGCGCCAACAUGAAACUCCCUCUCAUUUCACAGUUUCUUUCUUACUUCCAGUACAGUUACCCAACAGGCGUGAAACAAGCCAACAUCAUCGUUGAAAACUAUGGCUAAUAUACACACUGUUUCCAAAUCUGAAUUGAUAAGGAUAGUGUCGUUUGCCUCUGCAGGUACACGUGAUUAUUAGUAAUUAAUUUACUGUGAAGAUUCCAGCUAGCUUCGAUGGAGCCUUCAUUCAAAGCAUGAGUGGAGGUGUUCCCUCAGAAAUUGGGAGCACAUUUUGGAGUCAAAGAGCACAUACCAUGGUGUGUGAAUGGCUGAACAGUAGAGCUGGGAACUCUGAUGUCACUUCUGGGGUUGGCAGCAUGAGUGCCUCGGCCAGUUAUGUGGAGAACCUGAAUGAAAGCCCUCUGACAGAUGAAAAUCAUCAACUGAUGAGUCAGUUUUUUCUCAGAAACGACAAAAAAAAAGGUUAUUCAUACCAGGGUUUCCACAGACACUGUAAAAACCCAAUGCAGACACUCUUUUUAAACACAAGAGAUGUAGCACACAAGCAGUGUGGCAACUGAGGAA
Xiphias gladius (swordfish) is the source of this 591-nucleotide long non-coding RNA. RefSeq lists it as uncharacterized. The transcript has 4 exons. The record is from RefSeq and is a predicted model, not a curated record. Lineage: Eukaryota; Metazoa; Chordata; Actinopteri; Istiophoriformes; Xiphiidae.